Molecule: non-coding RNA, 307 nt
Organism: Pelobates cultripes (western spadefoot toad)
Lineage: Eukaryota; Metazoa; Chordata; Amphibia; Anura; Pelobatidae
Source: the annotation of a GenBank genome assembly
AAAAACACUAAAAGCAUAUAUUGUACCAAAUUUCUCGUACAUCAUGAGAAUGAUCCCUUUAAAGAUCCCAGAUAGUUGGCUAGAACUAAUCCAAUCAUCAUUCACUAAAUUUAUCAGGUCAGGCAAAAAAACUAGAAUCAAAAAAGAUAUUAUGUCUAGGAAAAAAAAUGAAGGAGGCAUGAGUAUCCCAAUUAUCCAAGAUAUUGCACAAGCCAAUUUAAUAGCGCACGUCCUAAUGAUAAAUAAGGAAGAUUAUGUAAAUGAAAACUGGUACAAAAGAGAACAGAUUCUGACCCUGGGAGCUAAG